Nasonia vitripennis (jewel wasp) is the source of this 1598-nucleotide long non-coding RNA. RefSeq lists it as uncharacterized. The record is from RefSeq and is a predicted model, not a curated record. The transcript has 6 exons. NCBI's taxonomy places the organism in Eukaryota, Metazoa, Arthropoda, Insecta, Hymenoptera, Pteromalidae.
CUUAAAGAAAACGCAACGAAUUUUCCAGCAGUGACCUGCAACGGUCUCCUCGCGCGCAACAUUAUAAUGAUCAAUUGUUUCGACUGUUGGGGAGUAAGAUCGUACCAAUCGCACUGUUUCUCUGCCAUAUAGCAGUACGUGAACGUGAUGAACAAAAAGCAAAUGACGUAGUAGAUCAUAAAAACGAGUUCCAUGAAUGUGAGCUGAUCAUGCCGCCUGUGGAUGUAAGCUAUCUUCUCUGCGAACUCGUUUCCGCUGCAUCCUUUCAGCCCCGGAAACUUCAGUCUCAGAACUGACAACUGCCCACAAAGAUGCAGCAUCAACACUAUGAACAGCGAGUCGAUCGACGUGUACGUCGUGGCCGCGAAGAAGUUGGAGAACAGCUGUCCGGCCAACGUAAGCUCGUAAUUCGGCGAAAUUUGCGAGUCGUAAGGAAAUGACGCCCUCAUGUACAAAGGUCUAUCGAUAUCGGUACCGUUAGCUUGGAGACGGUUUUGGGCAUCGAUGCGGAGGACAGCUAUGAUGAACUGUGCGGCGAAGGUUGCGUCUGCCAGGAAGAUGCACGUCGCCGAGACCAGACGUGAAAACCGGGCGUUCUCUUCCAUUAUUUCAAGCUCGAUUGGGCCGUGAGGCGAUCGCCAAUCGUUUGUGAUUUGAAUCAUGAGUUUUCGAAGGGCUGCGCUAAGAAAUGUUAUGCAUCUCAUAAUAUUACUUACAACUGAUUCGAUUAUUUAAAAUAUUUUGUAGAUACGAAUGCCGAGAAUGAAGAAAAAACACAAGUAUAAUAUCAUACCGCGUCUGUAGUACCAAAUUCCAGCGACUUUGACAGCCGCAGUACUGGUCGGUACUUCAGAGUUGAUAGAAAUCUCCGUGACUACGUUUAGAUCCCCCCAGACCUGCACGUUUUUCGCCGUCUGGGUGAUGGUGGCAAAGAAGACCAUCGUCGAGGACACGAUCAAAGCGCGCAAGUGCUCGAGUGCGCUGCUCUCGACGAAGGGAUCGGGCCAAAUGCCGAAAAUACGUAGGAAGAAUCGGCAUGGGCCGACCGCGAUAUCGUAACCUAUGAAUCCGAUCGUCAUUGAUAUCGUCGAAAAUCUCACACCUGACUCUGUCUUACUAUCCGUCACCAUAUCGAUACCCUCGAAUCGUCCUACCACCACCAAGUGCUGCCAAGAAACUGAGCUGGUCAUACCUCUCGAGAAUCCAUAACACGCAUGCUCCGGAACAACCGUCCAAGUUUCUAAGCCCUGCACGAUUUUAAUUUUGCACGUAGCGCAUGCAACGAUAAAUUCGUUUUUCAGCGCGUGUAUACCAUCGAGAGCUUUAAUUUUUAAGUAAAGAGACCUGUGAGACCGAAGGCGAUUGAAACAACAACUAAUAACAUGCGACAUACGUUGAACUUUCACGUAAACUAUCUGAGCAAUAUUGCAUGGAUAGAUAUAUCAAAACGUAGAAGAAUAAGAUGCUUUCAAGUUAACUGCAUCAAGAGCGGCAUCGUCGUGUGUCUCCGUAAAACUGGCCGCUGCAGCGAACCGGAAUACGUCGGCUCUAGAAGAAGACGUUGGCCGGCCUGGCCUGAGGACAGGAGAAAACGGAAC